CAAAAGCUUGCUGAUUUUGAGUCACUGAAUAAUCAGCACAUCAUGAUUUCAAAGCAACUGUCAGCUCAAGAGAUCAACGGCACAAUAAUGAAGAAAGAGUUCUUCAUUCUUAUAGCCAGAUACAACACACUUAGAAAAUGGUUGUCGUUUUACGAUGAUCAGUCUUGUAAUCACUCUGUGGAUGGCUGGAUAGCUUGUCGUGGAAAGCUGUAUUUAUUCAGCUCGGAUAAACUGAACUGGUCAAGCAGUCGAGAUGUCUGUGUUUCAAAAGGAGCUGAUCUGGUCACCAUAAC
Molecule: long non-coding RNA, 293 nt
Organism: Sinocyclocheilus grahami
Lineage: Eukaryota; Metazoa; Chordata; Actinopteri; Cypriniformes; Cyprinidae
Exons: 3
Source: RefSeq, a predicted model, not a curated record